GGGCGCAAGYNCUGAUGCAGCCAUGCCGCGUGUAUGAAGAAGGCCUUCGGGUUGUAAAGUACUUUCAGCGGGGAGGAAGGCGUUGAGGUUAAUAACCUCAGCGAUUGACGUUACCCGCAGAAGAAGCACCGGCUAACUCCGUGCCAGCAGCCGCGGUAAUACGGAGGGUGCAAGCRUWAAUMGGAAUUACUGGGCGUAAAGCGCACGCAGGCGGUCUGUCAAGUCGGAUGUGAAAUCCCCGGGCUCAACCUGGGAACUGCAUUCGAAACUGGCAGGCUAGAGUCUUGUAGAGGGGGGUAGAAUUCCAGGUGUAGCGGUGAAAUGCGUAGAGAUCUGGAGGAAUACC
This 346-nucleotide ribosomal RNA is filed under the name uncultured bacterium. RNAcentral describes it as "bacterial SSU rRNA". It matches the Rfam family "Bacterial small subunit ribosomal RNA", at positions 373 to 710 of the family's 1533-position model. The record is from RNAcentral.